CACAUGCUUUGAGCUUGUGGAGAGUGAAAUGAUGGCAAAUUUCUGAACAACUCAGUCAGCUCAGCAAAGUAUUUACGAUUAUCUGCUAAAAAUGAUCGUUGUGAGACAGAGCUUAAGCUAACAUGGGAAAUCUGUGCUGAAAGAAUUACAGAUAUUGUAGCAACCCAAAGGAAGCAUACUGUUCACAUUCCUCUUAUUUCUUUUGACUCUUGUAUCCAAUGGAAAAGUUCUUGAUAAGCUUUAUUGCACUGCAGAGGGUAUAAACAAUGCACUUUGAAAUCUGCUGAGUUUCAACCCAAAACUUAUCUUUUCAUUUGUUUCCUGAAUUGUCCCACAGACACAAAUCCACAGCACACAUAUGUUUAUAAAGAACAGAGUACAUGUAUUACUGCCAUACAAUCCCUUCCUUUCUUGGUUUUUUUUCCCUCAGUAUUUCUUAAUUGAUUUUUUUUUACUUGCUACAACAUUCUCUAUAUGCUGGACUGCAAUGUGGUGUUUGAUGUCUGCAAUCAAAAUGCAACAAGAGGAAAAAGUUCUUCAGGUCUCAGUCUCAAAUAGAAAUUUGGGCUGCUGAAGACACUGAGAUCACCUGCCAUCCCCACUGCCUGAGAUGUUUGUGUUGCUUUCCUGGGCCUGCCAGCAAGAAAGCUGAGGUGGAGGAUGAGCCUGAUGUCCUGGAAAAGCCGCAGAGUCAGACUGAGUGAGCAGGGGUGUGGCAGAGUUUCUCAGCUCCUCUUGCUGCACAGAGCCUUUCCACAAAGGCAGAGCCGGGACUUGUCUGUAUUUCCCUUCCUGCUGUCCUUCUGAACACCAUUCUACACACAAACGUGCCCAUGGACUAAAUACCUUG
This 850-nucleotide long non-coding RNA is filed under the name Zonotrichia albicollis (white-throated sparrow). Its description in RNAcentral is "lncRNA (ENSZALG00000006721.1)". Lineage: Eukaryota; Metazoa; Chordata; Aves; Passeriformes; Passerellidae. The record is from RNAcentral.